This 637-nucleotide ribosomal RNA is filed under the name Streptomyces deserti. RNAcentral's name for it is "bacterial SSU rRNA". It matches the Rfam family "Bacterial small subunit ribosomal RNA", at positions 380 to 1029 of the family's 1533-position model. Lineage: Bacteria; Bacillati; Actinomycetota; Actinomycetes; Kitasatosporales; Streptomycetaceae. The record is from RNAcentral.
AGCCUGAUGCAGCGACGCCGCGUGAGGGAUGACGGCCUUCGGGUUGUAAACCUCUUUCAGCAGGGAAGAAGCGCAAGUGACGGUACCUGCAGAAGAAGCGCCGGCUAACUACGUGCCAGCAGCCGCGGUAAUACGUAGGGCGCGAGCGUUGUCAGGAAUUAUUGGGCGUAAAGAGCUCGUAGGCGGCUUGUCGCGUCGGAUGUGAAAGCCCGGGGCUUAACCCCGGGUCUGCAUUCGAUACGGGCAGGCUAGAGUUCGGUAGGGGAGAUCGGAAUUCCUGGUGUAGCGGUGAAAUGCGCAGAUAUCAGGAGGAACACCGGUGGCGAAGGCGGAUCUCUGGGCCGAUACUGACGCUGAGGAGCGAAAGCGUGGGGAGCGAACAGGAUUAGAUACCCUGGUAGUCCACGCCGUAAACGGUGGGCACUAGGUGUGGGCGACAUUCCACGUCGUCCGUGCCGCAGCUAACGCAUUAAGUGCCCCGCCUGGGGAGUACGGCCGCAAGGCUAAAACUCAAAGGAAUUGACGGGGGCCCGCACAAGCGGCGGAGCAUGUGGCUUAAUUCGACGCAACGCGAAGAACCUUACCAAGGCUUGACAUACACCGGAAACGUCCAGAGAUGGGCGCCCCCUUGUGGUCG